CCUGAACCUCCCAGCAUUAAUGAUUGAGGCUAUGAGAGAAAUCCUGAAUAGAUCCAAGGCACAUCUGCCUUUCGGUAUGGCCCUCACUUUAGUAUUCAGGAGGUUUGGAGUUAGCUUUGAGGGGGAGGCAGUAGCUAGGCUUUCUCACUCUGACACCAUCAACCGCCAUACUUUGCACCGCAUGGGAUUUACUAAGACUGAUGGUGGUUGGACUAAAGGUGUAGAAGAGAGAGCUGAGGACAGAGCUGAGGAGGAAGGUCCUUCAUCACCUCUCCAUGAUCACAGGACUGUAUCUCCGGACAUUCAGUUUGUUUCUGACCAUGAGGCUAGGCCAUCAGAGUCUACG
RNAcentral lists this long non-coding RNA (346 nucleotides) under Elaeis guineensis (African oil palm). Its description in RNAcentral is "long non-coding RNA (EGUI_LNC081427)". The record is from RNAcentral. Lineage: Eukaryota; Viridiplantae; Streptophyta; Magnoliopsida; Arecales; Arecaceae.